RNAcentral lists this ribosomal RNA (492 nucleotides) under uncultured bacterium. RNAcentral describes it as "partial 16S ribosomal RNA". It matches the Rfam family "Bacterial small subunit ribosomal RNA", at positions 29 to 507 of the family's 1533-position model. The record is from RNAcentral.
AGUGAACGCUGGCGGUAGGCCUAACACAUGCAAGUCGAACGGCAGCACAGUAAGAGUUUGCUCUUACGGGUGGCGAGUGGCGGACGGGUGAGGAAUACAUCGGAAUCUACUUUUUCGUGGGGGAUAACGUAGGGAAACUUACGCUAAUACCGCAUACGACCUACGGGUGAAAGCAGGGGAUCUUCGGACCUUGCGCGAUUGAAUGAGCCGAUGUCGGAUUAGCUAGUUGGCGGGGUAAAGGCCCACCAAGGCGACGAUCCGUAGCUGGUCUGAGAGGAUGAUCAGCCACACUGGAACUGAGACACGGUCCAGACUCCUACGGGAGGCAGCAGUGGGGAAUAUUGGACAAUGGGCGCAAGCCUGAUCCAGCCAUACUGCGUGGGUGAAGAAGGCCUUCGGGUUGUAAAGCCCUUUUGUUGGGAAAGAAAAGCAGCAGGUUAAUACCCCGCUGUUCUGACGGUACCCAAAGAAUAAGCACCGGCUAACUUCGUG